RNAcentral lists this ribosomal RNA (259 nucleotides) under uncultured bacterium. RNAcentral's name for it is "partial 16S ribosomal RNA". It matches the Rfam family "Bacterial small subunit ribosomal RNA", at positions 333 to 589 of the family's 1533-position model. The record is from RNAcentral.
UGGUGCCUACGGGGGGCAGCAGUGAGGAAUAUUGGUCAAUGGGCGAGAGCCUGAACCAGCCACGUCGCGUGAGGGAAGACGGUCCUAUGGAUUGUAAACCUCUUUUGCCGGGGAGCAAAAAGCGGUACGUGUACCGCAUCGAGAGUACCCGGAGAAAAAGCAUCGGCUAACUCCGUGCCAGCAGCCGCGGUAAUACGGAGGAUGCGAGCGUUAUCCGGAUUUAUUGGGUUUAAAGGGUGCGCAGGCCGCGAGUUAAGAC